CACCCUCAUCGAUCAAUGAUACACAUCUGCAAGAGUUUUUUAGCAAGCCCAUUGAAAACACUCUAGGGAUGGAGACUUCGGGUGAACCUGAAAUCCAGUUAGGAGAAUAGAUUACUGCAUCCCAAUUAAUGUAAGUACUGAUUCAACAACAAGCUGCUACGAGAAAAGAUAUGAAAAAGAUAUUAGAGGCAUAGCAGGGACAACAACAGCAGA
Molecule: long non-coding RNA, 213 nt
Filed under: Elaeis guineensis (African oil palm)
Lineage: Eukaryota; Viridiplantae; Streptophyta; Magnoliopsida; Arecales; Arecaceae
Description: long non-coding RNA (EGUI_LNC049029)
Source: RNAcentral